RNAcentral lists this ribosomal RNA (533 nucleotides) under Bombus securus. Its description in RNAcentral is "partial 16S ribosomal RNA". The stretch from base 381 to 533 matches the Rfam family "Bacterial large subunit ribosomal RNA", at positions 2473 to 2626 of the family's 2925-position model. The record is from RNAcentral. Lineage: Eukaryota; Metazoa; Arthropoda; Insecta; Hymenoptera; Apidae.
GGCUUAAUGAUAAUAAUUUUAGGUCGAUCUGCCCAAUGAUUAAUAAUUAAAUGGCUGCAGUAUAUUUGACUGUACAAAGGUAGCAUAAUCAAUUGUUCUUUAAUUGAGAACUGGAAUGAAAGAAUUAAUGAGAUAUAUACUGUCUCAUAUAUAUAUAAUGAAUUUAAAUUUUUGGUUAAAAUGCUUAAAUAAUUUUAUGGGACGAUAAGACCCUAUAGAAUUUUAUAUUAAUUAUAAUUAUUAAAUUAUUUAUUUAAUUUUUAAAUUAAUAUUUGGUUGGGAGGAUUAGUAAAUUUAAUAAACUUUAUUUUAAAUUUAAACUUAGAUUAAAGAAUUUUUUAGAUCUUGUAUUAUAAAUAAAAAGAAUAAAUUACCUUAGGGAUAACAGCGUAAUAUCUUUUUAAAGAUCAUAUUAGUAAAGAUGAUUGCGACCUCGAUGUUGAAUUAAGAUAAAUUUUAAAUGGAGAAGUUUAAAAAUUAAGUCUGUUCGACUUUUAAAAUCUUACAUGAUUUGAGUUCAAAUCGACGUGAGU